Molecule: ribosomal RNA, 512 nt
Filed under: uncultured bacterium
Lineage: Bacteria
Description: bacterial SSU rRNA
Rfam family: Bacterial small subunit ribosomal RNA
Source: RNAcentral
UAGUCCACGCCCUAAACGAUGAAUACUAGACGUCGGAAUUCCUAAUAGUUUCGGUGUCGUAGCUAACGCAUUAAGUAUUCCGCCUGGGGAUUACGGUCGCAAGAUUAAAACUCAAAGGAAUUGACGGGGGCCCGCACAAGCGGUGGAGCAUGUGGUUUAAUUCGAUGCUACGCGAAGAACCUUACCUGGGCUUGACAUCCCGCGCUACCCUGUGAAAGCAGGGGUUCCCUUCGGGGACGCGGUGACAGGUGCUGCAUGGCUGUCGUCAGCUCGUGUUGUGAGAUGUAGGGUUAAGUCCCGCAACGAGCGCAACCCCUAUCGUUAGUUGCCAGCAUUAAGUUGGGCACUCUAGCGAGACUGCCGGUGAUAAGCCGGAGGAAGGCGGGGAUGACGUCAAGUCCUCAUGGCCCUUAUGGGCUGGGCUACACACGUGCUACAAUGGUGGUGACAGUGGGCAGCGACCUCGCGAGAGGAAGCUAAUCUCCAAAAGCCAUCUCAGUUCGGAUUGUUCU